CCGAGCCCCCCAGCGCGAGACGAUUCUGAUGACGACGACGACGACACCUACGUGAGAAUGGACUUUGCCAGACCUGACAACGAGAAAUUCGACUCUCCCCAAAGAGAGUGAUUUCAUUGCCACAAAAGCACACUUUAGAAGAAAAGUGAUGCUAACGGAAUUUCAUCUUUGUCUACUCCAGAUCUGCCUAAAAGAAAGAGAAUUUACAGGCUUCUGAAUAGAAAGCAACCUGAAUUUCUAAAAGCCUGCAAGUGGAUGCUGGCAGUUGAAUGAUCCUAACACAGGUCAUUUGUGCUGCUGCCCUACGGAUCCAGUGAUUUUGAAUUAAGAUAUUCACACUGUACUUUGUUUUUGUUUUCUGGUUUCCUUCCCUGAUCUGUCUUUUUAAAAGGAAAACAAAUACUGUAAAAGUGAGCAUCUCAANNNNNNNNNNNNUUUUUUUUUAAAUGUUAUUUACAUAUGUGUAAAUGUGGCCAAGACCUUAAGUUUUCGUGAUGUAUAAUACUUAGAUUUAGUUUUGCAGUUGAAAACCCAUGAAAUAAGAGAAGCUAAAAAAAAAAAAAAACCUAUGUUCCUGAGAAGGUAGGUAUGAUCUGGAAUCUUUUUCUGAGUAGUCUAUACACAAAACAUUUCUUGAUCAAGGAAUUAAACAUCAACUGAACUGAUAUCUUGAUGGGACAUUUCUAAUACUUUCAAGGCGGGACCAAAGGGCAGAUUUUCUCAGUUUUGCUCAUCAACAAAACUGCAGCAUUCUGUCCACAUUCAAUGUUACCUGCUAUCUCGAUUGACCAUUUCCAACGUUUUAAAGGCAGAACAGAGGAACACAUGAUCUGCUUCUUCAUCUACAACAUGUGAUGUUCUGCUUGCACAUCAAUUGAGCAUUUCCAAAGCCAUGAAUUUUUGUUUCUUUAGAAACCUACACUUUCCCCUAAAAGAAGCCAAGUUCUUCAAAAAGUUACCGUCACAAAGACCCCCCCCCUCUGUCUCUCUGCCCCCCCCCUUCACUCUCCAUUCUUCCUUUCUUUCUGACUCUUCCCUUGCCCUCCACUCUCCCUCCUAUGCCCAGGGCUCCUAUAAAGAGAUCAGUUUCCCAUAGUCAAGAAAUUCGUGUAGACAUAUCAAUCAAUAUUCUGACUAAAACUUAAGCCAAAAGGAACCUCUUAUAAGGUCUUGUUUUCCUUUGGAGAAUAAGACAAUAUAAGAUGUACUAAAUUAAAAAAAAAAAUCAGAGCAAGCUACCCCCUCCUGUUUCAGCUUGCCUCUGAUGGAAACUGAAUUAAGAUUUUUAGGAACCUGGACCUUUGAGAACAGGACACUAACAGGUGGUGAUCACAGAGGCUAGGUACAAAGGUCUUGAAGCUUGCUUAGAGCUUUGUUACGUGGUGGCGCACAAGUCACGACUUGUGACACCGUCACUGGCAAACCUCAUCCUAUCACAAAUGGCUGUGAGUAUCUGUAUAAGUGUGUGAGUGCUAACGUGUGUGCACCUGUUCGUGUGUAUGCACACCUUUGUGUACCUGUGUACAUGUGAUUGUAGAUGUACCUGUUGUGCGUAACUCUGUUUAAAAAAAAAAAUUGCUUCGCAUUUAAUGUGCAACCUUGAGAUAGUGUAAUAUUUACCUGAAGUCAUUUGCCACUCGGUUGUGAUGUCUUUGAACGUGUACUUCUAUCUUCGAGCAGGCUUAUAGUACAUGUGUUGCUACAAUCGCUUUCCUGAAGAACCGAGCUGACUUCUAUCCUUUUUCCUUGCCUACCAAUCAAAGGGAUGGGGCGGGGGAGCUCUUUCAUUUUUUUGUUCCCUCGUGAAUGGUGCUGAGGAGAGGAUGUGGCUGCAGGACCAAUCACUAUCCGUUACUGGUCACUGUUAGGGCAUCGGUUCCAUCAGUUCCUUCCCACUUCUCUUUUUCCAACCUAAUCAAGUAACGCAGUGUGGCUUUUGUUCAUUAUGGUAACCGUGCAGUCUUUCAGGAACCCUUUUUUCAAGCCUUCCGUCACCAUUUUACUUUCAAGUAAGUUAAGUCAUAAUCAUUCAGAAUUGAGGAUAGAAAACAUUAUUUGGGGGGAAAAACUGCUCUAUUGCUUUAUUUGCAUAUUAGGUUCAGAGGCUGCCAACAGACAGGGUACAGCACAGAGUAACACCGGCUGAAUAAAUGGAUGGGAAACCUCAUACACAACAGUACAAUUAGUAACAGGUACAAAUAGUCACAGGUACAGCAUAACAAAUAUGCAAUCUUUUGACACUACUUCUUAGUUUACAGAUAAAACUAAUUUAUUCAGUAUUGUGCUGGAAGAGUCGUUUUGAAUAUGUGUAGCAACAUAUCACUUACCUUCCAGCUACCAGUUUAUGCUGCUGUUGAGAAAAACCAAUGAUGGAACGAUUUUUUGUGUGUGUGACCUCUGCAUUUAAUUUGGUAUCAGCCAUAGUCACUUGGUCAGUAAAAACUAGACAGUUCCAACAGUUCAUUACAUUUGCUCUUUCUGCUUCACAGAUCUGCUUUGAGUUGCUCUGGCUUUGUCUUCCUUUGUAAAUACUCUUAUAUUCUUUUUUUUUUUUUUCUUUGUAAACAUCUCAUUUGCAGUUUUGGGAGACAACUUUGCAACUCUGUAUAGUGUUUAUAUAUAUAUCUGACUUGCCUUUCCAUAGAGCUACUCGCAAUAAAUGUGUUCAUGAACGU
This 2675-nucleotide long non-coding RNA is filed under the name Sus scrofa (pig). Its description in RNAcentral is "lncRNA (ENSSSCG00005014600.1)". The record is from RNAcentral. Lineage: Eukaryota; Metazoa; Chordata; Mammalia; Artiodactyla; Suidae.